RNAcentral lists this ribosomal RNA (336 nucleotides) under Neisseria meningitidis NM3222. RNAcentral's name for it is "partial 23S ribosomal RNA". The record is from RNAcentral. Lineage: Bacteria; Pseudomonadati; Pseudomonadota; Betaproteobacteria; Neisseriales; Neisseriaceae.
GGCGUCCGGUCGGGUUUGCGGAGGAACGGCUUGAAACUUUGGGAUAUUCAUUUUAGAAUGACUCGUUUUAUCGUCGCAAGAUGCGGUUUAUUGUUUGCAACCCUUAAAGGAAAAACCAUGAAGAAAAUGUUCGUGCUGUUCUGUAUGCUGUUCUCCUGCGCCUUCUCCCUUGCGGCGGUAAACAUCAAUGCGGCUUCGCAGCAGGAGUUGGAGGCGCUGCCGGGCAUAGGCCCUGCGAAGGCGAAGGCCAUUGCGGAAUACCGUGCGCAAAACGGUGCGUUCAAGUCUGUGGACGAUUUGACCAAGGUAAAGGGCAUCGGCCCUGCGGUGCUGGCG